Molecule: long non-coding RNA, 494 nt
Organism: Triticum aestivum (bread wheat)
Lineage: Eukaryota; Viridiplantae; Streptophyta; Magnoliopsida; Poales; Poaceae
Exons: 3
Source: RefSeq, a predicted model, not a curated record
UCCACCGCCUGUUUGUUCCUGUCACCAGAUUAGUCAAGAGAGUGUUCGACGUGGCCAGGAGUGACUUCAUAGGCCCGUCGAAGCUGGAUGGAUCCACACAGGUGAAUGGCAUGAAAACUGCCGAGCUCCUCGACGCAGACAACAUAAUCAACAUACCGGUUGAGCUGUACAAGACCCAGGCAACUGUUGCAGUUUCCAGGGAGGAGUUCCUGGAUGUCGUGUGUGAUGCACUCACCCUGUACAAGUAUGUCGGGCCCAAUCAGAGGCUGACUUGCUUCUUGCCUGCAGGAUAAAGGAGAGGAAAGAAUCAGUGACAGUACUGUUGUGUGGCACAAGUGGAUGCAGCAAGUCCGCUCUAUCAUCUUUGUUGGGUACAGGUUGGGUAUCACCACCAUAGUUUCUACUGACUAUACGGCACAUGAUGAGGAGGUUCGUUGAAGAAAAAGAAAACCCUCUGCUCUACGCGUCAACCUACCACGCAGGGGAUUAUCUAG